This 1069-nucleotide long non-coding RNA is filed under the name Sarcophilus harrisii (Tasmanian devil). RNAcentral's name for it is "lncRNA (ENSSHAG00000030759.1)". Lineage: Eukaryota; Metazoa; Chordata; Mammalia; Dasyuromorphia; Dasyuridae. The record is from RNAcentral.
CCGAUUCCCUAGGGGGGUGGGUGCAUUGGGUUGCCCGCAUCAGUACUGGAGGUCUUAAUGCAAGCCCGGAUUCAUCAGUGGUGGUGCCUGUCUCUCUGCAGAUCUAGUCUGCUUUCUGCUGGAGAGGGUUUUUAAAGGUUUUGGGGGGAUUGGUGCUAGGAGGCCACAGAGUACCGAAUUGAAGGGCAGGACAGAACGAGAUCUCAGUAUAUUACAGAGGUGGCUUGGGAGAAUUCCUUGCAUCAAAUCCAAUUUGCAUAAUAUGAAUUGAAAUAAAGCAACAUCUGUCUGUAGUCCAUUCUGUUCCUAUUGAGUUUUCUUUAGAGGUCUUUGAUAUCUAAGUUUUCUAAGUCAUCUAAGCUUUAUUAUUCUCCUUGACUUCUUUCUUAGUUAUUUUAUGGUUGUAUUUGUCUAGGUCACACAGGAAAUAUGGAGGUCCCCUGACAUUAUAGUUUUAUUCUCUAUUUCUUCCUGUAAUGCAUGUAACUUUUCCUUUAAAAAUUUGAAUCUCAUGCCCUUGUGCACAUAUCUCUUUUCUGACUCCAUUGACUGUGGUUCCCCUAAACAAGAAUUAGGUUGCACACUAAUCCCUUUCAGUGAGGCCUAAUUUUUCUCUGCAUUUUUUCUGACAUCAAGACUGCUUCCCUUAUGUUUUAUCCUUCAUAUGAGGUAUAACAGUUUCUGCUUCAGCCCUCUAUUUUAACUCUGGUUGUCUCUUUCUUUCCAAUAUGAAUCUUUUCAAAAUACAAAAAAAAAAAACAAACAAACAAACAUAGUCUGAAGUCUGGUUUCUAAUUCAUUUUACUGCUCACUUGCAUUUAGGAGUGAGUUCAUCCCACUAACACAGUCAUGUUGUAGUUGAUUCUGUUUUUCCUUCUUUCUUUCUUUUUAUCCCCAUUCCCCUGCUAAGUUCUAUUUUGCACAUGACCACUGCAUUCUUUUAACUGCCCAACGUUUAUCACCACUUUUUCUUCUCCUCUCCCAUUUGCCUACUUACCUUUAGGGUAAAAUAGAUUUUUUGACCCAUGGAAGAAGUACAUAUAAAUACAGAUAUCGAUAUUUCCCCUCU